RNAcentral lists this ribosomal RNA (497 nucleotides) under uncultured bacterium. RNAcentral describes it as "partial 16S ribosomal RNA". It matches the Rfam family "Bacterial small subunit ribosomal RNA", at positions 899 to 1397 of the family's 1533-position model. The record is from RNAcentral.
ACUCAAAUGAAUUGACGGGGGCCCGCACAAGAGGUGGAGUAUGUGGUUUAAUUCGAAGCAACGCGAAGAACCUUACCUGGGUUUGACAUCCCAUGAAAAGUGUAGAGAUACAUAAUAGCCGCAAGGCACAUGGAGACAGGUGCUGCAUGGCUGUCGUCAGCUCGUGUCGUGAGAUGUUGGGUUAAGUCCCGCAACGAGCGCAACCCUUUCCCUUAUUUGCCAUCAUUAAGUUGGGCACUCUAGGGGUACUGCCGAUGAUAAAUCGGAGGAAGGUGGGGACGAGGUCAAGUCAUCAUGGCCCUUACAUCCAGGGCAACACACGUACUACAAUGGCCAAAACAAAGCGAAGCAACAUCGUAAGGUAGAGCUAAUCGCAAAAACAUGGUCUCAGUUCGGAUUGUGGUCUGCAACUCGACCACAUGAAGUUGGAAUCUCUAGUAAUCGCAGAUCAGCAGGCUGCGGUGAAUACGUUCCCGGGCCUUGUACACACCGCCCGU